AGGACGAACGCUGGCGGCGUGCUUAACACAUGCAAGUCGAGCGGAAAGGCCUUUCGGGGUACUCGAGCGGCGAACGGGUGAGUAACACGUGAGUAACCUGCCCCUUACUUUGGGAUAACCCUCGGAAACGGGGGCUAAUACCGGAUAUGACCUGUGACGGCAUCGUUGUGGGUGGAAAGUUUUUCGGUGGGGGAUGGGCUCGCGGCCUAUCAGCUUGUUGGUGGGGUAAUGGCCUACCAAGGCGACGACGGGUAGCC
Molecule: ribosomal RNA, 257 nt
Filed under: uncultured bacterium
Lineage: Bacteria
Description: partial small subunit ribosomal RNA
Rfam family: Bacterial small subunit ribosomal RNA
Source: RNAcentral